Oncorhynchus kisutch (coho salmon) is the source of this 2725-nucleotide RNA transcript. It is a transcript of the gene named polycomb group RING finger protein 5-B-like, with no coding region annotated. The record is from RefSeq and is a predicted model, not a curated record. Lineage: Eukaryota; Metazoa; Chordata; Actinopteri; Salmoniformes; Salmonidae. The transcript is spliced from 10 exons.
GUUGUCGUGAACGAAACAUAAAUUCCGUAUUCUUGCCACUAGUUUCAUACUAGCCUACGUCGCUGAUAUCACCAAGAGAACGCAGUGUCAUGGUCACUCUAUUAUUCCCAUUCUACCAGCUAUAAUAACCUAAUGGAAAAAGUAGAGAGGUUACGAGGUAAUCUGAGAGUGAAAAUAUCUUCAGAUUGUGUUUCCCAGCUGAUGAGGACUGGCUGAGGAUGAUGAAGAUGACGCAUAUACAGGGGACACCCCAGCAGUGUCAGAGGCUGCAGGGACCUCUGUGAUUGUUGACCCUACCUCAUCCCUGAUCUCCCCAGCUCUGCAGGGGCUCACCAUGGCCACUCGGAGGACACCCAUGGUCCAAACCAGCUUGGUCAAAGACUUUAACCACUUCAUUACCUGCUACCUGUGCAGAGGUUACCUGAUCAAACCCACCACGGUCACUGAGUGCCUGCACACAUUUUGUAAGAGCUGCAUCAUCCAGCACUUUGAAGACAGUAAUGACUGUCCCAAAUGUGGCAUUCAAGUCCACGAAACGAACCCUCUAGAGAUGCUAAGGUUGGACAAUACUCUUGAGGAAAUCAUUUUCAAGCUUGUGCCUGGAUUACGAGAAAAAGAGGGACAGCAGGAGAUUGAUUUCUGGAGGAAGAAUAAGUCAAAAGAAAAUUCACAAGGAGACGGCCUUGGGUCAAAGAAGCUUGGGCUCAGUGAUGAGGAUGAUGAUGAAGAUGACCAGGAUUACCACAGGAGCGACCCCCAGAUAGCCAUCUGCCUCGACUGUCUCCACAACAAUGGCUAUGCUGCAGACAACACAGUGAAGUGUUUAAUGAAGAAGUUCAUUCAUUGCUCUAGUCGAGUCACGGUGGGAACCAUCAAGAAGUUUCUCAGUCUAAAGUUAAAGCUUUCUAGCUCUUGUGAGACAUGCACACAGAACAAGAAUAAGCACAGUGACCACAGAGAAGAUGCUGAGGAGACAGAUGGACAGCACAACAAAAUGGCUAGAGCAGAGGCCCUGUUAUAGUGCUGGAUGUGCUGUGUAAUGGGGAGAUCAUGGGGAAGGACCACACUCUGGAGUUUAUCUACAUGACCCGCUGGAGGCUGCACAGUGACCACAGAUAUCCCAUGGUCCUGGAGUACAGGCCACGAAUAGACUUUGGCUGAACGAAGCCUUCAAAGACUAACAAAGCAAGGACUGGAUGUACAUGCAGCCAAGGCCAGGAACUCUGUCCUUCCAAACCUUUCUGAACUUCUCUACAUUUGACCAUUUGUUUUUUCUUUCUCAUUCUGUUUCAUUUAGUUGUGACCUUCGUUGUGGGAACAUUCUGUGUCCUUCGUUGUGGGAACAUUCUGUGUCCUUCGUUGUGGGAACAUUCUGUGUCCUUCGUUGUGGGAACAUUCUGUGUCCUUCGUUGUGGGAACAUUCUGUGUCCUUCGUUGUGGGAACAUUCUGUGUCCUUCGUUGUGGGAACAUUCUGUGUCCUUCGUUGUGGGAACAUUCUGUGUCCUUCGUUGUGGGAACAUUCUGUGUCCUUCGUUGUGGGAACAUUCUGUGUCCUUCGUUGUGGGAACAUUCUGUGUCCUUCGUUGUGGGAACAUUCUGUGUCCUUCGUUGUGGGAACAUUCUGUGCUUGUGGCCAAAGUGAUCUUCAAGACAACUAAAGACAAGCUUAGCUGAAACAUGGGUAUAUGAAUAUAUCAGUUGUAUUUACUCCCAACUCCAAGGGCUUCCACCCAAUGCCUGACUAAAACAUGUUUUAUGUCUUUUAUAAAUGCACAUAACAUAUCCACAGAUUUGCCCACCAUCAAUCAAUUAGGGAAAUUUGCCUGUGACAGGGCACCUUAAUAAUGUUGUCAACAAGUUUCAAAGAGUCUAAACCGAAGCCCAUUCGUCUUCAUUCUGUUCCAUGCUCAGUUAAUAACCAGUCUGACAAGCUGCUGAAAUCUACAAACGCUCUCUGGCAGAGGCUGGGCAACCUGCAGGAUUGGGAGAGAAACAUUAAGCCUCUCUCUCUCUCUCUCUGUCACACAUACUCAACCCAUACUGCGGUGUGAUUACCCUGGCUCCUGCCAAUCUCAGACUUGUGCUAAUAGCUUUUUUGGCACCGUUCUGAGUGAGGAGGUAUUACAUUUCAGUUUUUCAGAUUGAUCAUAGUAUGUUUAGACUAGAGAUCUACUAUCUUACAUGUUUUUAAAGGCAAACUAAUGGUGUGUACAUUUCAUAUUGUUACUAGACCUUUGAUCUAAAUGUGUUUUAUGAAAUAGAUGACAUUACAACAUGAGAGUAAGAUGUAUGUAUUAUGGAUCUUGGAUAUAUUUGAUCAAAGAACAGCUUUGUGCACUGUAAGAGCUGGUUGGCCAUAAAGCUUAUUGUAUUAACGUUGAGGUGUACUGAAGUGGUCUCUUUCAGAGUAAUUCAGUAUAGAGAGUAUACGGUAUCUGUUUCCUUACCUAGUCAUCUCAUGUUUAGCCUUUUCAUCUAUGUUGAUAUGAUUUAUAUGUGAAGAACAUUGAGGUGAAGACGAGCUGUCCAUCUGCUGAAAAAUAGGAUGCAUUUUUGGAAACAUGUACAUAUUCUUAUGGUUAAUGUUUUAUGCUGCUUAGAAUAUAUUUUUGAAAUGUACUGCCUCUGAAUCAUUCUUGAGAGAGAGCUGUGAAGAAAAAUAGUUCAUAUCUGUACUUGAUUUAUAAUUAUUAUUCAUGAAUAAAUUCAAUGUUUUGUAUUCUA